GUGGGGAAUAUUGGACAAUGGGGGGAACCCUGAUCCAGCCAUGCCGCGUGUGUGAAGAAGGCCUUUUGGUUGUAAAGCACUUUAAGCGAGGAGGAGGCUACCGAGAUUAAUACUCUUGGAUAGUGGACGUUACUCGCAGAAUAAGCACCGGCUAACUCUGUGCCAGCAGCCGCGGUAAUACAGAGGGUGCAAGCGUUAAUCGGAUUUACUGGGCGUAAAGCGCGCGUAGGUGGCUAAUUAAGUCAAAUGUGAAAUCCCCGAGCUUAACUUGGGAAUUGCAUUCGAUACUGGUUAGCUAGAGUAUGGGAGAGGAUGGUAGAAUUCCAGGUGUAGCGGUGAAAUGCGUAGAGAUCUGGAGGAAUACCGAUGGCGAAGGCAGCCAUCUGGCCUAAUACUGACACUGAGGUGCGAAAGCAUGGGGAGCAAACAGGAUUAGAUACCCCGGUAGUCC
This 451-nucleotide ribosomal RNA is filed under the name uncultured bacterium. RNAcentral describes it as "partial 16S ribosomal RNA". It matches the Rfam family "Bacterial small subunit ribosomal RNA", at positions 354 to 796 of the family's 1533-position model. The record is from RNAcentral.